Molecule: long non-coding RNA, 1176 nt
Filed under: Nicotiana benthamiana
Lineage: Eukaryota; Viridiplantae; Streptophyta; Magnoliopsida; Solanales; Solanaceae
Description: long non-coding RNA (NBEN_LNC019984)
Source: RNAcentral
GGAUAGCUAAUCCGGGAUUAAUUAUAUUGCAAUUUUCUCCCAGCCAAACAUGAGAUAAACUCUUCAUUAAUUAUUCCUUAUCCCGGAUAACAAACGAACCUUUAUAAUGUUCAACUCUAUUCUUUUCUGUCUUCUUUAUUGCGCAUAUAAUGAGAUUUUAGUUACUGAUAGAGUCAUCCUAAGAAUUUAAAGAAGAGAAAAGCAAGUAGAUGUAGGGUCGAAAACAUAUACUUGUGAUUACUUGUUUGUAGUUGGAAGUAUACAUGUUCUGCUGGCUAGUAAAUAUAUAUCAAGACGAUGGACUAGGCAAGCAACUACUCCUAGCAAAAUUAUGUUCUCUAUCAAGAUUAAUGCUCAAGUCCUUUCUCUUACUAGUAUAAAGUAUUUUGAAGUUGGAGCGUUGGUCUUUUAACAACCUCACAAGACUUCUCUUGGCAUUAGGUCUAAAUGGAGAAUCAGAUGCCAAAAAUCCAUCCACCAAAUGUAAAUAUGCCUCCAAGUCAUGGCAGCAUGCGACAUCUGCGUCAGGCUUCAAAAACGGCGACAUUCUCGUGUCAACUCUGAAUUCAGUACCAACGUGUGAAUACGCCCACGGCAUCUUACUAUCUAACAUCUCUAGCACGCGACCUGCUCCUGAUUCUCUAAGCUUUUUGUCUAGCUCUUCGCUCACAAACAUGCCAGGAACCCUAGUGAUUAUGUCUUGAUUAUUCACAAUACGUAACACCUUAACAUUGUUCGCGUUAAGACGAUCCGCAAAAACCCGAUUGCCUACGCGAGGGCCUCCAAAAGAAAAAACAGCCACUGGUGGUGCAUUUGGUGCACAUGUACUAACAUCAUCUGCUACUAAAAGAGCUAAAGCUGCACCAAGACUAUGUCCAGUGACAGUGAUGCUUAAAGGCUCUCCUUUAUACUGUUCAAUUAAUCUUUGUACUUCGUUAACAACUGAUUCAGCUAAACUUGGGACAUGUUCUCCACCUGUUUUAUACAAACUCAAGAAUCCACAUUCCACUUUAGAUUGUUCUUUAGCUAAAUCAUCAUUUUGUUCUACUAGCAAGGCGCGAAAAUUCUCUGCCCAUUCUAAACACGUGGCAGUACCUCGUAACGCAAUAACAAUAUCCCUCCUUCCCAUUCGUUGAAUCUCAUUCCUGUCCUCGCACACUGCCACAUACCCAAUCC